AACGAACGCUGGCGGCAUGCCUAACACAUGCAAGUCGAACGAGACCUUCGGGUCUAGUGGCGCACGUGUGCGUAACGCGUGGGAACCUGCCCUUAGGUUCGGAAUAACUCCCCGAAAGGGGUGCUAAUACCGGUUAAUGUCUUCGGACCAAAGAUUUAUCGCCUUUGGAUGGGCCCGCGUUGGAUUAGCUGGUUGGUAGGGUAAAAGCCUACCAAGGCGACGAUCCAUAGCUGGUCUGAGAGGAUGAUCAGCCACACUGGGACUGAGACACGGCCCAGACUACUACGGGAGGGAGCAGUGGGGAAUAUUGGAAAAUGGGCGAAAGCCUGAUCCAGCAAUGCCGCGUGAGUGAUGAAGGCCUUAGGGUUGUAAAGCUCUUUUAACCGGGAUGAUAAUGACAGUACCGGGAGAAUAAGCUCCGGCUAACUCCGUG
This 433-nucleotide ribosomal RNA is filed under the name uncultured bacterium. Its description in RNAcentral is "partial 16S ribosomal RNA". It matches the Rfam family "Bacterial small subunit ribosomal RNA", at positions 29 to 507 of the family's 1533-position model. The record is from RNAcentral.